AUAUCUCUCCGUACGGGAAGGAUGAGAAGCUUCGAUUAAGGUUCGAUUCGAGCGCAGCGAG
Molecule: small RNA, 61 nt
Filed under: Salmonella enterica subsp. enterica serovar Gallinarum
Lineage: Bacteria; Pseudomonadati; Pseudomonadota; Gammaproteobacteria; Enterobacterales; Enterobacteriaceae
Description: partial RtT sRNA
Rfam family: RtT RNA
About the family: This family represents a bacterial cis-regulatory element known as RtT RNA. The exact function of RtT is unknown although it is thought that it may be involved in changing the cellular response in relation to amino acid starvation.
Source: RNAcentral